UAUUCUAAGGCGCUCGGGAGAACCACUCUUAAGGAACUCGACCAAUUGACCCCGUAACUUCGGAAGAAGGGGUGCUCUCGCCGUCAUGGGCAUACGCCCGGCAGCGGUUGAGAGCGGCACUGAAAUGGCUCAGGCGACUGUUUAUCAAAAACACAGGUCUCUGCUAAGUCGUAAGACGACGUAUAGGGGCUGACGCCUGCCCAAUGCCGGAAGGUUAACGGGAGAGGUUAGCGUAAGCGAAGCUUUGAACCGAAGCCCCGGUUAAUGGCGGCCGUAACUAUAACGGUCCUAAGGUAGCGAAAUUCCUUGUCGGGUAAGUUCCGACCUGCACGAAUGGCGUAACGAUCUGAGCAUUGUCUCAAGGGUGGUCCCGGUGAAGUUGUAUUACCUGUGAAGAUGCAGGUUACCCGCAGUAGGACGGAAAGACCCUGUGCACCUUCACUGCAGAUUGAUAUUGGGUUUAGUUGUGGUUUGUAUAGGAUAGGUGGGAGUCAUUGAAGCUGGCGCGUUAGCGUCGGUGGAGACAACCUUGGAAUACCACCCUGACCUUAACUGAAUUCUAACUCCGAACCCGUGAAGCCGGGCGGAGGACAGUGUCUGUCGGGCAGUUUGACUGGGGCGGUCGCCUCCCAAAGAGUAACGGAGGCGCCCCAAGGUUCCCUCAGCACGGAUGGAAAUCGUGCGUCGAGUGUAAAGGCAAAAGGGAGCUUAACUGCGAGACCAACAAGUCGAGCAGAUACGAAAGUAGGGCUUAGUGAUCAAGCGGUCCCAUAUGGAAGGGCCGUUGCUCAACGGAUAAAAGGUACGCCGGGGAUAACAGGCUGAUAACCCCCAAGAGUUCACAUCGACGGGGUUGUUUGGCACCUCGAUGUCGGCUCGUCGCAUCCUGGGGCUGAAGCAGGUCCCAAGGGUUCGUCUGUUCGCCGAUUAAAGUGGCACGCGAGCUGGGUUCAAAACGUCGCGAGACAGUUUGGUCCCUAUCCACUGCGGGCGUAGGAAAUUUGCGGGAAGCCGUCUCUAGUACGAGAGGACCGAGAUGGACAUACCCCUGGUGUUCCGGUUGUCACGCCAGUGGCAUCGCCGGGUAGCUAUGUAUGGACGGGAUAAGCGCUGAAAGCAUCUAAGCACGAAGCCCCUCCCAAGAUAAGAUUUCCCAGACCAUAAGGUCUCUAAAGGGCCCUCGAAGACUACGAGGUAAUAGGCUGGAGGUGUAAGCGUAGCGAUACGUUAAGCUGACCAGUACUAAUCAGCCCGUGCGGCUUGGUC
RNAcentral lists this ribosomal RNA (1266 nucleotides) under metagenome. Its description in RNAcentral is "bacterial LSU rRNA". It matches the Rfam family "Bacterial large subunit ribosomal RNA", at positions 1677 to 2925 of the family's 2925-position model. The record is from RNAcentral.